UUUUUAGUGAAAGUAUGCCCCAUGAAAUAUUUGGGAUAUACUUAUGCUAAAA
This is a non-coding RNA of Myotis lucifugus (little brown bat), 52 nucleotides long. Lineage: Eukaryota; Metazoa; Chordata; Mammalia; Chiroptera; Vespertilionidae. The record is from Rfam.